Molecule: transfer RNA, 73 nt
Filed under: Moorena bouillonii PNG
Lineage: Bacteria; Bacillati; Cyanobacteriota; Cyanophyceae; Coleofasciculales; Coleofasciculaceae
Also listed under: 6 other names
Description: Moorea bouillonii PNG tRNA-Arg
Rfam family: tRNA
About the family: Transfer RNA (tRNA) molecules are approximately 80 nucleotides in length.
Source: RNAcentral
GCCCUCGUAGCUCAGUGGAUAGAGCUAGGGAUUUCUAAUCCCUCGGCCGUAGGUUCAAAUCCUACCGAGGGCG